Molecule: unclassified non-coding RNA, 345 nt
Filed under: soil metagenome
Description: partial contains 5.8S ribosomal RNA, internal transcribed spacer 2, and large subunit ribosomal RNA
Rfam family: 5.8S ribosomal RNA (bases 1-121)
Source: RNAcentral
GAUGAAGAACGUAGCGAAAUGCGAUAAGUAAUGCGAAUUGCAGAAUUUCCGUGAGUCAUCGAAUCUUUGAACGCACAUUGCGCCCACUGGUAUUCCGGUGGGCAUGCCUGUUCGAGCGUCAUUAUCCUCCCUCAAACCUCGGGUUUGGUGUUGGACCCAAGUUGUGUGAACAACUGGUCUUAAAGACAAUGACGGCGUCCGUGGGACCCUCGGUGCAACGAGCUUUUAGGAGCACACGUCGAGUUUCAAGGACCUUCCGGGCCGGUCUCCUUUACCAUUUUACAAGGUUGACCUCGGAUCAGGUAGGAAUACCCGCUGAACUUAAGCAUAUCAAUAAGCGGAGGA